CAGCUCGCUUCGGCAGCACAUAUUCUAAAAUUAGAAAGAUACAGAGAAGAUUAGCAUGGCUCCUGUGCAGCAAGUCCAUCUUAAGCGCUGAACCAUCUCUCU
This 102-nucleotide small nuclear RNA is filed under the name Peromyscus maniculatus bairdii (prairie deer mouse). The record is from RNAcentral. Lineage: Eukaryota; Metazoa; Chordata; Mammalia; Rodentia; Cricetidae.